CGGUGGGGAUGGACGUCAAAUCAUCAUGCCCCGUUACUGACCUGGGCUACACACGUGCUACAAUGGGCGGUACAAAGGGUCGCGAAACCCGCGAGGGGGGAGCCAAUCCCAAAAAGCCGACUCCGUCAGUUCGGAUUGCAGGCUGCAACUCGCCUGCAUGAAGCCGGAAUCGCUAGUAAUCGGCGGAUCAGCACGCCGCGGUGAAUACGUUCCCGGGCCUU
RNAcentral lists this ribosomal RNA (221 nucleotides) under uncultured Anoxybacillus sp. Its description in RNAcentral is "partial 16S ribosomal RNA". It matches the Rfam family "Bacterial small subunit ribosomal RNA", at positions 1171 to 1382 of the family's 1533-position model. The record is from RNAcentral. Lineage: Bacteria; Bacillati; Bacillota; Bacilli; Caryophanales; Anoxybacillaceae.